CUGGGUGGAUCAGUGGCGAACGGGUGAGUAACACGUGAGCAAUCUGCCCCUGACUCUGGGAUAAGCGCUGGAAACGGUGUCUAAUACUGGAUAUGAGCUGCGACCGCAUGGUCAGUAGUUGGAAAGAUUUUUCGGUCAGGGAUGAGCUCGCGGCCUAUCAGCUUGUUGGUGAGGUAAUGGCUCACCAAGGCGUCGACGGGUAGCCGGCCUGAGAGGGUGACCGGCCACACUGGGACUGAGACACGGCCCAGACUCC
This 256-nucleotide ribosomal RNA is filed under the name unidentified marine bacterioplankton. RNAcentral describes it as "partial 16S ribosomal RNA". It matches the Rfam family "Bacterial small subunit ribosomal RNA", at positions 83 to 339 of the family's 1533-position model. The record is from RNAcentral.